This 502-nucleotide ribosomal RNA is filed under the name uncultured Methylobacterium sp. RNAcentral describes it as "bacterial SSU rRNA". It matches the Rfam family "Bacterial small subunit ribosomal RNA", at positions 95 to 632 of the family's 1533-position model. Lineage: Bacteria; Pseudomonadati; Pseudomonadota; Alphaproteobacteria; Hyphomicrobiales; Methylobacteriaceae. The record is from RNAcentral.
GUGGCAGACGGGUGAGUAACACGUGGGAACGUACCCUUCGGUUCGGAACAACUCUGGGAAACUGGAGCUAAUACCGGAUACGCCCUUUUGGGGAAAGGUUUACUGCCGAAGGAUCGGCCCGCGUCUGAUUAGCUAGUUGGUGGGGUAACGGCCUACCAAGGCGACGAUCAGUAGCUGGUCUGAGAGGAUGAUCAGCCACAUUGGGACUGAGACACGGCCCAAACUCCUACGGGAGGCAGCAGUGGGGAAUAUUGGACAAUGGGCGCAAGCCUGAUCCAGCCAUGCCGCGUGAGUGAUGAAGGCCUUAGGGUUGUAAAGCUCUUUUGUCCGGGACGAUAAUGACGGUACCGGAAGAAUAAGCCCCGGCUAACUUCGUGCCAGCAGCCGCGGUAAUACGAAGGGGGCUAGCGUUGCUCGGAAUCACUGGGCGUAAAGGGCGCGUAGGCGGCCAUUCAAGUCGGGGGUGAAAGCCUGUGGCUCAACCACAGAAUUGCCUUCGAUA